RNAcentral lists this ribosomal RNA (440 nucleotides) under uncultured bacterium. RNAcentral's name for it is "bacterial SSU rRNA". It matches the Rfam family "Bacterial small subunit ribosomal RNA", at positions 338 to 795 of the family's 1533-position model. The record is from RNAcentral.
CCUACGGGUGGCUGCAGUGGGGAAUAUUGCACAAUGGGCGCAAGCCUGAUGCAGCGACGCCGCGUGAGCGAUGAAGGCCUUCGGGUCGUAAAGCUCUGUCCUAAGGGAAGAAUAAUGACGGUACCUUAGGAGGAAGCCCCGGCUAACUACGUGCCAGCAGCCGCGGUAAUACGUAGGGGGCGAGCGUUAUCCGGAAUCACUGGGCGUAAAGGGUGCGUAGGCGGCCCUGCAAGUCAGGUGUUAAAUCCCUCGGCUCAACCGAGGUCAGCACUUGAAACUGUCGGGUUUGAGGGCAGGAGAGGAGAGCGGAGUUCCUAGUGUAGCGGGGAAAGUCGGAGAUAUUGGCGGGAACGCCAGUGGCGAAGGCGGCUCUCUGGACUGCAACUGACGCGGAGGCACUAAAGCGUGGGGAGCUAACAGAAUUAGAUACCCCAGUAGUG